RNAcentral lists this ribosomal RNA (404 nucleotides) under Actinomycetes bacterium. RNAcentral's name for it is "Actinobacteria bacterium partial 16S ribosomal RNA". It matches the Rfam family "Bacterial small subunit ribosomal RNA", at positions 355 to 776 of the family's 1533-position model. The record is from RNAcentral. Lineage: Bacteria; Bacillati; Actinomycetota; Actinomycetes.
UGGGGAAUAUUGGACAAUGGGCGCAAGCCUGAUCCAGCCAUGCCGCGUGAGUGAUGAAGGCCCUAGGGUUGUAAAGCUCUUUCACCGGUGAAGAUAAUGACGGUAACCGGUGAAGAAGCCCCGGCUAACUUCGUGCCAGCAGCCGCGGUAAUACGAAGUGGUCUAGCGUUGUUCGGAUUUACUGGGCGUAAAGCGCACGUAGGCGGACUAUUAAGUCAGGGGUGAAAUCCCGGGGCUCAACCCCGGAACUGCCGUUGAUACUGGUAGUCUUGAGUUCGAGAGACGUGAGUGGAGUUCCGAGUGUAGAGGUGAAAUGCGUAGAUAAUCGGAGGAACACCAGUGGCGAAGGCGGCUAACUGGCACGAUACUGACGCUGAGGUGCGAAAGCGUGGGGAGCAAACAGG